This 329-nucleotide unclassified non-coding RNA is filed under the name soil metagenome. RNAcentral describes it as "partial contains 5.8S ribosomal RNA, internal transcribed spacer 2, and large subunit ribosomal RNA". The stretch from base 1 to 120 matches the Rfam family "5.8S ribosomal RNA", at positions 35 to 154 of the family's 154-position model. The record is from RNAcentral.
GAUGAAGAACGUAGCGAAAUGCGAUACGUAAUGUGAAUUGCAGAAUUCAGUGAAUCAUCGAGUCUUUGAACGCACAUUGCGCCCCUUGGUAUUCCGAGGGGCAUGCCUAUUCGAGCGUCAUUAUCACCCCUCAAGCCUAGCUUGGUGUUGAGACCUGCUGUCAAGGCAGUCUCUAAAAUCAGUGGCAGUGCUGUCAGGCUCUAAGCGUAGUAAAUCUAAUCGCUAUAGACACCUGGUGGACACUCGCCAGAACCCCCCCAUUUUUUAAUGAUUGACCUCGGAUUAGGUAGGGAUACCCGCUGAACUUAAGCAUAUCAAUAAGCGGAGGA